RNAcentral lists this ribosomal RNA (480 nucleotides) under uncultured fungus. Its description in RNAcentral is "eukaryotic LSU rRNA". The stretch from base 118 to 272 matches the Rfam family "5.8S ribosomal RNA". The record is from RNAcentral. Lineage: Eukaryota; Fungi.
UGAUUUGUGACCCCUCUCUGAUAUUGAAAAGUCUGGGUGUUAUGAUUUUUUGACAUACACAGUUGAAUGUCUAUAGAAUGAAAUGUAGGCUUUUGUCAGCCUUAAAUGAUAAAAUACAACUUUUAACAACGGAUCUCUUGGCUCUCGCAUCGAUGAAGAACGCAGCGAAAUGCGAUAAGUAAUGUGAAUUGCAGAAUUCAGUGAAUCAUCGAAUCUUUGAACGCAUCUUGCGGCUCCUUGGUAUUCCGAGGAGCAUGCCUGUUUGAGUGUCAUUAAAUAUCUCAAAAAGCUUGUGCAUUUUUGGCAUGGGAUUUUUGGACAUUGGGAGUUGCCGGCCGCUGAUAAAGUGGUGGGCUCUUCUGAAAAGCAUUAGUUGAGGAGCUUUGCACUCUAUUGGUGUGAUAGACUAUCUAUGCCAGGAGAAGCUUCAUGAUCCUCUGCCAUCUAACUGUCUUUAUUGGACAAUAGAUAAACUUGACC